This 958-nucleotide ribosomal RNA is filed under the name Passalus sp. Pa030625. RNAcentral's name for it is "partial 16S ribosomal RNA". Lineage: Eukaryota; Metazoa; Arthropoda; Insecta; Coleoptera; Passalidae. The record is from RNAcentral.
UUUAAUUUUCUCGAUUUAGAAUGGGCUAUAAAGUUAUAUAUUUUAUUGUAAAAAAAAUAUUUUUAAUAAUUUUAUUGAAAUGAAAUGUUAUUCGUAUUUUAUUAUAUCUAGUUUUUUAAGAAAUAAAUUUAAUUUAAAAAAUUUAAUAUAAUUAAAUGAUUUAUUAUUUGAUUUUUUAGAUUUUUAAAUAUUUUUAGGGAUAAGCUUAAAAAUAGAUGGUUAAAAUUUAAUUUAUUGAGUAUAAAGUAGGAUUAGAAAUUUUUAUCUUUAAAAAGAUUGUUGUAAUAAAAUAUUUAAUUAAGUUAAUUUUUAUAAAUUUUAAAGAUUUAUUAGAAUGGGAAAUUUAAUUUUUAGGUUUUUGAAAUUAUGGUAAAAUUAGUAUUUAUUGUUUAUUUAAUUUUUUUAAAAUUGAGGUUUUAUAAAGGAAUUCGGCAAAAUUUAUUCUUGCCUGUUUAUUAAAAACAUGGUUUUUUGAAAAUAUUUUAAGAUUUGACCUGCUCAAUGAUUUUAUUAAAUAGCUGCAGUAUCUUGACUGUACAAAGGUAGCAUAAUCAUUAGUUAUUUGAUUGUUAACUGGAAUGAAGGGUUGGACAAAGGAUUAACUGUCUCUAUGAAAUUUUAAAGAAUUUUAUUUUUAAGUAAGAAAGCUUAAAUUUUUUUAAAAGACGAGAAGACCCUAUAGAGUUUUAUAUAGUAAAAUUAUUUUUUUAUUAGUAUUUUUUAUUGAGUAAUUUAAUUAUAUUUUAUUGGGGCGAUAGGAAAAUUUAGUAAACUUUUUUAUUUAUUUGUUCAUUAAUGGAUGAAUUAAUGAUUCAUAUUUUAUGAUUAUUAGAUUAAAUUACCUUAGGGAUAACAGCGUAAUUUUUUUAAAAGUUCUUAUUGAAUUAGAAGAUUGCGACCUCGAUGUUGGAUUAAAAUUUAUGUUAGGUGAAGAAGUUUAACUAUUUGGUCUGUUCGU